CCGCCUACGGGAGGCAGCAGUGGGGGAUAUUGGACAAUGGGGGAAACCCUGAUCCAGCGAUGCCGCGUGAGGGAAGAAGGUUUUCGGAUUGUAAACCUCUGUGGAGGGGGACGAUAAUGACGGUACCCCUUUAGGAAGCCACGGCUAACUACGUGCCAGCAGCCGCGGUAAUACGUAGGUGGCGAGCGUUAUCCGGAUUUACUGGGUGUAAAGGGAGCGUAGGCGGCCUGGCAAGCCUGAUGUGAAAUACCGGGGCCCAACCCCGGGGCUGCAUUGGGAACUGCCAGGCUGGAGUGCCGGAGAGG
This 305-nucleotide ribosomal RNA is filed under the name uncultured bacterium. Its description in RNAcentral is "bacterial SSU rRNA". It matches the Rfam family "Bacterial small subunit ribosomal RNA", at positions 335 to 657 of the family's 1533-position model. The record is from RNAcentral.